RNAcentral lists this ribosomal RNA (424 nucleotides) under uncultured Parabacteroides sp. RNAcentral describes it as "bacterial SSU rRNA". It matches the Rfam family "Bacterial small subunit ribosomal RNA", at positions 338 to 759 of the family's 1533-position model. The record is from RNAcentral. Lineage: Bacteria; Pseudomonadati; Bacteroidota; Bacteroidia; Bacteroidales; Tannerellaceae.
CCUACGGGAGGCAGCAGUGAGGAAUAUUGGUCAAUGGACGCAAGUCUGAACCAGCCAUGCCGCGUGCAGGAAGACGGCUCUAUGAGUUGUAAACUGCUUUUGUACUAGGGUAAACUCAGAUACGUGUAUCUGACUGAAAGUAUAGUACGAAUAAGGAUCGGCUAACUCCGUGCCAGCAGCCGCGGUAAUACGGAGGAUCCAAGCGUUAUCCGGAUUUAUUGGGUUUAAAGGGUGCGUAGGCGGUCUGAUAAGUUAGAGGUGAAAUGUUAGGGCUUAACCCUGAAACUGCCUCUAAUACUGUUGGGCUAGAGAGUAGUUGCGGUAGGCGGAAUGUAUGGUGUAGCGGUGAAAUGCUUAGAGAUCAUACAGAACACCGAUUGCGAAGGCAGCUUACCAAACUAUAUCUGACGUUGAGGCACGAAAG